CCCAGUCUUGGCCGUGUGGUCUAAGGCGCCAGACUCAAGUUCUGGUGGAGAGAUCCUCGUGGGUUCGAAUCCCACAGCUGACA
This 83-nucleotide transfer RNA is filed under the name Perkinsus olseni. RNAcentral describes it as "tRNA-Leu". It matches the Rfam family "tRNA". From Rfam's summary of the family: Transfer RNA (tRNA) molecules are approximately 80 nucleotides in length. Lineage: Eukaryota; Perkinsozoa; Perkinsida; Perkinsidae. The record is from RNAcentral.